Molecule: ribosomal RNA, 1483 nt
Filed under: uncultured prokaryote
Description: partial 16S ribosomal RNA
Rfam family: Bacterial small subunit ribosomal RNA
Source: RNAcentral
AGAGUUUGAUCCUGGCUCAGGAUGAACGCUAGCGGCAGGCUUAACACAUGCAAGUCGACGGGGAACAGGGAGCUUGCUCCGCUGACGACCGGCGCACGGGUGCGUAACGCGUACAAUUUACCUUUUACAGGAGAAUAGCCCAGAGAAAUUUGGAUUAAUGCUCCAUGGUAUUGAUUGAUCACCUGAUCGAUUAAUUAAAGUUCCGACGGUAAAAGAUGAGUAUGCGUCCUAUUAGUUAGUUGGUGAGGUAACGGCUCACCAAGACGACGAUAGGUAGGGGUCCUGAGAGGGAGAUCCCCCACACUGGUACUGAGACACGGACCAGACUCCUACGGGAGGCAGCAGUGAGGAAUAUUGGGCAAUGGAGGCAACUCUGACCCAGCCAUGCCGCGUGCAGGAAGACGGCCCUAUGGGUUGUAAACUGCUUUUAUACAGGAAGAAACGUACCCACGUGUGGGUACCUGACGGUACUGUACGAAUAAGCACCGGCUAACUCCGUGCCAGCAGCCGCGGUAAUACGGAGGGUGCAAGCGUUAUCCGGAAUCAUUGGGUUUAAAGGGUCCGUAGGCGGAUUGAUAAGUCAGAGGUGAAAUCCCACAGCUUAACUGUGGAACUGCCUUUGAUACUGUUAGUCUUGAGUUAUAUGGAAGUAGAUAGAAUGUGUAGUGUAGCGGUGAAAUGCAUAGAGAUUACACAGAAUACCGAUUGCGAAGGCAGUCUACUAAGUAUAUAAUGACGCUAAUGGACGAAAGCGUGGGGAGAGAACAGGAUUAGAUACCCUGGUAGUCCACGCCGUAAACGAUGGACACUAGUUGUUGGAUUAUUACAGUAGGCGGCUAAGCGAAAGCAUUAAGUGAACCACCUGGGGAGUACGAUCGUAAGGUUGAAACUCAAAGGAAUUGACGGGGGCCCGCACAAGCGGAGGAACAUGUGGUUUAAUUUGAUGAUACGCGAGGAACCUUACCUGGGCUUAAAUGUAGAUUGCAUAACUUAGAAAUAGGUUUUCCCUUCGGGACUCUUUACAAGGUGCUGCAUGGUUGUCGUCAGCUCGUGCCGUGAGGUGUCGGGUUAAGUCCCAUAACGAGCGCAACCCCUAUCGUUAGUUGCCAGCGGGUCAUGCCGGGGACUCUAGCGAAACUGCCGGUGUAAACCGAGAGGAAGGUGGGGAUGACGUCAAAUCAGCACGGCCCUUAUGUCCAGGGCUACACACGUGUUACAAUGGUCGGUACAAUGGGCAGCUACCUGGCAACAGGAUGCUAAUCUCCAAAGCCGAUCCCAGUUCGGAUCGGAGUCUGCAACUCGACUCCGUGAAGUUGGAUUCGCUAGUAAUCGUAUAUCAGCAAUGAUACGGUGAAUACGUUCCCGGGCCUUGUACACACCGCCCGUCAAACCAUGGAAGCUGGGGGUAUCUGAAGUACGUCACCGCAAGGGGAGCGGCCUAAGGUAAAACUAGUAACUGGGGCUAAGUCGUAACAAGGUAACC